RNAcentral lists this ribosomal RNA (502 nucleotides) under uncultured bacterium. RNAcentral's name for it is "partial 16S ribosomal RNA". It matches the Rfam family "Bacterial small subunit ribosomal RNA", at positions 28 to 523 of the family's 1533-position model. The record is from RNAcentral.
GAUGAAUGCUAGCGGCAGGCCUAACACAUGCAAGUCGAGGGGCAGCACAGAAACAGCAAUGUUUUGGUGGCGACCGGCGGACGGGUGCGUAACGCGUAUGCAACCUACCUUUAACAGGGGGAUAACGGAGAGAAAUUUCCACUAAUACCCCAUAACAUCGAUCAAGGCAUCUUGAUUGGUUGAAAACUCCGGUGGUUAAAGAUGGGCAUGCGUUGUAUUAGGUAGUUGGUGAGGUAAUGGCUCACCAAGCCUACGAUACAUAGGGGGACUGAGAGGUUAGCCCCCCACACCGGUACUGAGACACGGACCAGACUCCUACGGGAGGCAGCAGUGAGGAAUAUUGGUCAAUGGGGGCAACCCUGAACCAGCCAUGCCGCGUGCAGGAAGACGGCUCUAUGAGUUGUAAACUGCUUUUAAACAGGGAUAAAGCACAGUAUGUAUACUGUGUUGAAGGUACUGUAAGAAUAAGGAUCGGCUAACACCGUGCCAGCCGCCGCCGUAA